This 603-nucleotide long non-coding RNA is filed under the name Salvia miltiorrhiza (redroot sage). RNAcentral's name for it is "long non-coding RNA (SMIL_LNC011661)". The record is from RNAcentral. Lineage: Eukaryota; Viridiplantae; Streptophyta; Magnoliopsida; Lamiales; Lamiaceae.
CACUUUUAAAAAAUCUUAAAAUACUAAAUUAACUCAACCUCGACUACAAAACCUUAGAAAUUGUUAAUAUUUCUUCAUUUAAUUUCUUAUGGUCUGGAAUGCUUUUUUGAGCUCUUACAAUCUAUAUCUAUAUAAUACUCCCUCCGUCCCACGAAUCUUGACACGUUUUCCUUUUUGGGCCGUCCCACGAAUCUUGACACGUUUCCUUUUUUGGUAAUAAUUACUCCCUCCGUUCCGCUAACGUUGGCUACAUUUGUUUCGGCACGGAGAUUAAGAAAUGAAGUGUUAUGUUUUAAUUGAGUGGGGCCCAUCAAAAUUAUUGAGUUAAUUAAAAUAAUUUCUUCCUUCUUUCACUUUCUUCUUCAUCCACUGCCACCCACCUCCAGCGAAGUCGCCGGCAUCAGUCACCCCCUCCUCCGGCGAAGUUGACGGCAUCAGCCACCCCCUCCUCCAGCGAAGUCGCCGCCACCCUCGUCUCCCUCUGUCCCCCUCGUUUUUUCUUCCUCUGUCCGCCACCUCCAGCGAAGUCACCCUCUGUCCGCCACCUCCAGCGAAGUCGCCGCCAACAAUCACCACCACCGUCGCCAACAACCACCACCGCCG